RNAcentral lists this ribosomal RNA (301 nucleotides) under uncultured bacterium. RNAcentral describes it as "partial 16S ribosomal RNA". It matches the Rfam family "Bacterial small subunit ribosomal RNA", at positions 509 to 809 of the family's 1533-position model. The record is from RNAcentral.
CAGUCGCCGCGGUAAUACGUAGGUGGCAAGCGUUAUCCGGAAUUAUUGGGCGUAAAGCGCGCGUAGGCGGUUUUUUAAGUCUGAUGUGAAAGCCCACGGCUCAACCGUGGAGGGUCAUUGGAAACUGGAAAACUUGAGUGCAGAAGAGGAAAGUGGAAUUCCAUGUGUAGCGGUGAAAUGCGCAGAGAUAUGGAGGAACACCAGUGGCGAAGGCGACUUUCUGGUCUGUAACUGACGCUGAUGUGCGAAAGCGUGGGGAUCAAACAGGAUUAGAUACCCCAGUAGUCCCUGUCUCUUAUAA